GUGGGGAAUAUUGGACAAUGGGCGAAAGCCUGAUCCAGCAAUGCCGCGUGAGUGAUGAAGGCCUUAGGGUUGUAAAGCUCUUUUACCCGGGAUGAUAAUGACAGUACCGGGAGAAUAAGCUCCGGCUAACUCCGUGCCAGCAGCCGCGGUAAUACGGAGGGAGCUAGCGUUGUUCGGAAUUACUGGGCGUAAAGCGCGCGUAGGCGGUUUUUUAAGUCAGAGGUGAAAGCCCGGGGCUCAACCCCGGAACUGCCUUUGAAACUGGAAAACUUGAAUCUUGGAGAGGUCAGUGGAAUUCCGAGUGUAGAGGUGAAAUUCGUAGAUAUUCGGAAGAACACCAGUGGCGAAGGCGACUGACUGGACAAGUAUUGACGCUGAGGUGCGAAAGCGUGGGGAGCAAACAGGA
RNAcentral lists this ribosomal RNA (406 nucleotides) under uncultured bacterium. RNAcentral describes it as "bacterial SSU rRNA". It matches the Rfam family "Bacterial small subunit ribosomal RNA", at positions 354 to 777 of the family's 1533-position model. The record is from RNAcentral.